This is a long non-coding RNA of Oncorhynchus tshawytscha (Chinook salmon), 1298 nucleotides long. Lineage: Eukaryota; Metazoa; Chordata; Actinopteri; Salmoniformes; Salmonidae. The record is from Ensembl.
AUGAUUACACUAUCAGCUCAUUGAGACAGAACUGUUAAAGGAGGCAGGGGCUGAUAAAGGCGCUUUGGGUAUAGUAAAGAGAGUGGAGGAGAGAUUUACGUGGCAGCUAUUGACGCUUUCCAAGGGCCCUUGGCAUUGAGUGACACAAAACCCGCGAGGUGUGUUGGCAGGGUGCCAGGCCAAACUGCUUUUGUGUUAGCCUAUAGCUAGCCAUUACAAUGACAAAGCCAUGUCGUCGCGGGAAAUCCCAGAUCAGAGUUCUCAUUUCAGUGCGGAGCCCCCUCACGAACAGACCACAGAAACUGUGUAGUCAGUUAGUGACGCGCUCAGGCGCAUUUUCACACCAACUUUGUGUCGGUCAGUGUGCCCGCCUCACAUGCAUUCCAUUUCACCUGUUGACGACAUCUCACUACGAUCUGUCAUUUUCACUGGGAGUGAUUUGAAAGGAUUGAAUCAAACCAGAGAGGAGAGGAAAAUAUAGACAUCAAAGGUAUUCAGACGGGAUAUGACAGCAAACAGAAACUCUGAAAGUUAUCUGGAUAUAGUUCGUAUGAUUGAAAGCGAAAGCGCGCGCCCGGUCCAAACCCAUCACUUCUUUAUUUAGUCACUCUUGUUUUUAUGAGCGUCUAUUUUCUUCAAAUUCAGCGACAACAAUACACGUUCCCCACAACAAAAACGCAUUUGAAGAGAGAACGGCAUAUUCUCAGGAGAAAGAGAUGGAGAUUUCGCGGAAGGAGAUCGGGGUGUGAGGAUCAGGUGAAGAGUGUCUAAUCUGCCUUUGCCAUCCGUACUAUUAGCCAACGCACAAUCACUGGAAAAUAAACGGGACAAACUAAAAGCAUGUAUAAGCUACCAACGGGACAUUAAAAACUGUAAUAUCUUAUGUUUCACAGUGUCGUGGCUGAACGAUGACAUGAAUAAAAUACAGCUGCCGGGUUAUAUGCUCUAUCGGCAUGAUAGAAUAGCAGCCUCUGGUAAGACAAGGUGUGGCGGUCUAUGUAUAUUUGUAAACAACAGCUGGUGCACGAUAUCUAAGGAAGUCUCAAGGUUUUGCUUGCCUGAGGUAGAGUAUAUCAUGAUAAGCUAUAGACCACACUAUCUACCUCGAAUUUUCAUCUGUAUUUUUCGUAGCUGUCUACAUACCACCACAGACCAAUGCUGGCACUAAGACCGCACUCAAUGAGUUAUACCGCCAUAAGCAAACAGGAAAACACUCAUCCAGAAGCAGCGCUCCUAGUGGCCGGGGACUUUAAUUGCAGGGAAAAUAAAUUAGUUUUACCUCAUUACUAUCAGCAUGU